GACGAACGCUGGCGGCGUGCUUAACACAUGCAAGUCGAACGGUAAGGCCCUUCGGGGUACACGAGUGGCGAACGGGUGAGUAACACGUGGGUGAUCUGCCCUGCACUUCGGGAUAAGCCUGGGAAACUGGGUCUAAUACCGGAUAGGACUCCGGACUGCAUGGUCUGGGGUGGAAAGCUUUUGCGGUGUGGGAUGGGCCCGCGGCCGAUCAGCUUGUUGGUGGGGUGAUGGCCUACCAAGGCGACGACGGGUAGCCGGCCUGAGAGGGUGACCGGCCACACGGGGACUGAGAUACGGCGCAGACGCCUACGGGAGGCAGCAGUGGGGAAUAUUGCACAAUGGGCGCAAGCCUGAUGCAGCGACGCCGCGUGAGGGAUGACGGCCUUCGGGUUGUAAACCUCUUUCAGCAGGGAAGAAGCGAAAGUGACGGUACCUGCAGAAGAAGCACCGGCUAACUACGUGCCAGCAGCCGCGGUAA
Molecule: ribosomal RNA, 478 nt
Filed under: uncultured bacterium
Lineage: Bacteria
Description: partial 16S ribosomal RNA
Rfam family: Bacterial small subunit ribosomal RNA
Source: RNAcentral